This 329-nucleotide ribosomal RNA is filed under the name uncultured eukaryote. RNAcentral describes it as "partial 18S ribosomal RNA". It matches the Rfam family "Eukaryotic small subunit ribosomal RNA", at positions 1470 to 1796 of the family's 1831-position model. The record is from RNAcentral.
CCCUUAGAUGUUCUGGGCCGCACGCGCGCUACACUGAGUGUCUGAGAUACGAGUCUGCCUGGUCCGGCAAGGUCUAGGUAAUCGCUAAAAGACACAUCAUGCUUGGGAUAGAUUAUUGCAAAUAUUAAUCUUGAACGAGGAAUUCCUAGUAAGCGCAAGUCAACAGCUUGCGUUGAUUACGUCCCUGCCCUUUGUACACACCGCCCGUCGCUACUACUGAUUGGAUGUUUAAGCGAGGUUCUCGAACUGCUAGCGACUUAGCUUCGGUCAGGUCGCAGUGUGGGAAGUGAACCUAGCUUUGGUGUCUAGAGGAAGUAAAAGUCGUAACA